RNAcentral lists this unclassified non-coding RNA (240 nucleotides) under soil metagenome. RNAcentral's name for it is "partial contains 5.8S ribosomal RNA, internal transcribed spacer 2, and large subunit ribosomal RNA". The record is from RNAcentral.
AACCUAGCACACCUGCGGUGUGUACCUGCGGAAGGAUCAUUACAACAAGGCUCCCUGGCCCCUCGAAGCUUCGGCGGAAGGGGGCUACAGCCUGACUUUAUACCCACCCUUUGCCUAUGUGUACCCCUAUUGCUUCCCUCGGCGGGUUCGCCCGCCGACAGGAACCAACUAAACCCUUUGCAUUAUACAUUUAACACUUCCGAUACAAAACUAAAUUAUUACAACUUUUAACAAUGGAUC